This is a long non-coding RNA of Drosophila biarmipes, 596 nucleotides long. RefSeq lists it as uncharacterized. Lineage: Eukaryota; Metazoa; Arthropoda; Insecta; Diptera; Drosophilidae. The transcript has 2 exons. The record is from RefSeq and is a predicted model, not a curated record.
CCAGGCAGAUUGUUUCCAAAACUCUACACAUAAGACACAAAAAAACCAAAAAUCGUCGAAAUGCUGCAAAUUCUACGGGAUAUGGCAAACUUUUUCUGCCUUCAGUAUCGCUACUUUUGGCUGGCCUCUAUAGUGGCCAUCCCAUACCUAUCCUACAGAUCGCAACAGAGCGACUUCAAUAUGCUGGACGGCUUUAUAAUGUACGCGGCUGUGUUCAUUGGAGCCUUUGGAAUGAUUCAGGACGAGCGGAAUGGUCGUCCUCGUUAGCGCAAACUGGGGAAAAAACUGCGAUGCGAAAACCUGUUUCUCAGCUAGAAACCACUGACCAAAAAAAUUCAAUUAAUGACUUGCCCUAAAGAAGAGCCACUUGAUUGAUGUGUAUUACGUAUUACGAGUUUUUUUCUUAUUUUCGCCGGCGAGAUUGUUGGCGAGGCCGAAAGCCGCCAGUCCGACGAGGCAGAAAGCCCAGCUCCACACGAUUCCCUGCCACAUUUUAGCCAUGUUCGGAGGUAUAUACUGUAUGCACUUCCACACUGAGAUGCUUCCACGAUCUUUGGCUAAUUAUGUAUUAAAAUAUUCAGUUGCAUGGACGGGCA